GAGAUAUAUGAAUCCACUAGGAAUAUAGCAGAUGGAGAAUUUGGUAAGUAUCCUAAUUACUUACUUUCCAGUUAAAUCUCCAUACCUUCAAAUGCUGGUGACAAAUAGUCACACUUAGAAUGACUAAUUUGGCUUAACUACUCUAUUCUUAGACUGGACACAGUUGCAGCUCAGAAGCAAAUUACUGAGGUGGAGAAUUACAAAGCUCUUCUUAUCUCAGGAAAUACACAUUGUCUAAUUCUGAAGAGAACAUGUGAAACUCAACAACUGAAACGUUUCUCUGAGUUUUGUGGGCAGAACAGUGUCCUUGGAUGGUUG
Molecule: long non-coding RNA, 318 nt
Filed under: Sus scrofa (pig)
Lineage: Eukaryota; Metazoa; Chordata; Mammalia; Artiodactyla; Suidae
Description: lncRNA (ENSSSCG00070010401.1)
Source: RNAcentral